UACGUAGGGUGCAAGCGUUGUCCGGAAUUAUUGGGCGUAAAGAGCUCGUAGGCGGUCUGUCGCGUCGGCUGUGAAAACUCGAGGCUCAACCUCGAGACGCCGAUGGAAACCAUCUGGCUAGAGUCCGGAAGAGGAGAGUGGAAUUCCUGGUGUAGCGGUGAAAUGCGCAGAUAUCAGGAAGAACACCCGUGGCUAAGGCGGCUCUCUAGUACGGUACUGACGCUGAGACGCGAAAGCGUGGGGAGCGAACAGG
RNAcentral lists this ribosomal RNA (253 nucleotides) under uncultured bacterium. RNAcentral describes it as "partial 16S ribosomal RNA". It matches the Rfam family "Bacterial small subunit ribosomal RNA", at positions 524 to 776 of the family's 1533-position model. The record is from RNAcentral.